Molecule: ribosomal RNA, 496 nt
Filed under: uncultured bacterium
Lineage: Bacteria
Description: partial 16S ribosomal RNA
Rfam family: Bacterial small subunit ribosomal RNA
Source: RNAcentral
GAUGAACGCUGGCGGCGUGCCUAAUACAUGCAAGUCGAGCGAACAGAUAAGGAGCUUGCUCCUUUGACGUUAGCGGCGGACGGGUGAGUAACACGUGGGUAACCUACCUAUAAGACUGGAAUAACUCCGGGAAACCGGGGCUAAUGCCGGAUAACAUUUAGAACCGCAUGGUUCUAAAGUGAAAGAUGGUUUUACUAUCACUUAUAGAUGGACCCGCGCCGUAUUAGCUAGUUGGUAAGGUAACGGCUUACCAAGGCAACGAUACGUAGCCGACCUGAGAGGGUGAUCGGCCACACUGGAACUGAGACACGGUCCAGACUCCUACGGGAGGCAGCAGUAGGGAAUCUUCCGCAGUGGGCGAAAGCCUGACGGAGCAACGCCGCGUGAGUGAUGAAGGUCUUCGGAUCGUAAAACUCUGUUAUUAGGGAAGAACAAAUGUGUAAGUAACUGUGCACGUCUUGACGGUACCUAAUCAGAAAGCCACGGCUAACUACGU